RNAcentral lists this ribosomal RNA (254 nucleotides) under uncultured prokaryote. Its description in RNAcentral is "partial 16S ribosomal RNA". It matches the Rfam family "Bacterial small subunit ribosomal RNA", at positions 524 to 776 of the family's 1533-position model. The record is from RNAcentral.
UACGUAGGGAGCAAACGUUGUCCGGAUUUAUUGGGCGUAAAGGGCUCGUAGGCGGUUCAACAAGUCGAUCGUGAAAGCCCGGGGCUCAACCCCGGGAGGCCGGUCGAAACUGUUGUGACUAGAGUUCGGUAGAGGUGAGUGGAAUUCUCGGUGUAGCGGUGGAAUGCGCAGAUAUCGAGAGGAACACCAUUAGCGAAGGCGGCUCACUGGGCCGAUACUGACGCUGAGGAGCGAAAGCGUGGGGAGCAAACAGG